AUCGUAACUAAUAUCAAAGUAACUGUGUGAAAUUGUGAUUGCCCUGUAGUUACUAAUUCCCAAAUUUACAAAACUGCAAUCAUAAUGGGGUUCAGAUGGAUUGUAUGCAACCAGGCCUGAUUACUGCCAGCCGUGUUCAAUUACGUCAACACUUGUAAAGAACAUUUCAACAGCAUGAAGUUGGUUUAAAGGUCAUACCCAGUAGAGGAUAACCUCACAGAAUUCUUUUAAGAGCAGAGCAACGACUCAUCCAGGAAGUCACAAAAGACCCACGCACAACAUAGUAGGAACGGCAGGCCUCUCUCGCAUCAGAUGGCAUCCAUGGUCUACAGUCACACAGUUUCAUGAACUUUUCUUCUCAAGACAGCAGUGUGUGUGUCAGGGUAAAGAGUGUGUGGAAGGUGAUUUACUGCAAAGAACUAAUUACCAACUGUGUAUGUGCAGAAAUAAUUUUAAACUCUUAUAUUUGACAUAUUGCUGUUGUGUUGUGAGUAGUAUAGUCAGAACAGACUCCACAAGCUCUUGAGUUCUUACUGUCAGAAAACACAGGGUAGCGCCAUAAACACUGAGCUCCAGUAAUGCUGCAUUUCAGGAGAGUCCUACUGAAAAUUUCAAAACAACUUUCCUCAUGAACACACACACAUAUUGUUUGACUUAACAGUAAAUAUAUUACAGUCAUUACAAAUUAAAAUGAAUUCUUACAUCAUAAAAUAUCAUUAACCUGAUAAAAAACUGUCUUCCCCUGUUUUUGUGUCCAUCUCCUUUUUAAACUGUUUCAAGAAAAAAAAAAGGUAAUCAUCGUGACUAAUAUCAAAGUAACUGUGUGAAAUUGUGAUUGCCCUGUAGUUACUAAUUCCCACAUUUACAAAACUGCAAUCAUAAUGGGGUUCAGAUGGAUUGUAUGCAACCAGGCCUGAUUACUGCCAGCCGUGUUCAAUUACGUCAACACUUGUAAAGAACAUUUCAACAGCAUGAAGUUGGUUUAAAGGUCAUACCCAGUAGAGGAUAACCUCACAGAAUUCUUUUAAGAGCAGAGCAACGACUCAUCCAGGAAGUCACAAAAGACCCACGCACAACAUAGUAGGAACGGCAGGCCUCUCUCGCAUCAGAUGGCAUCCAUGGUGAGAAAAAAAUUAUAAUAAUACUAACACAGAUAAAUAUACAGUAAAGUCUUGUCUAUGUAGCUGCUGGAUUCAUUUAAGAUGCUGGAUCAUGCCUCAAGCAUUGUAAACUUGCCCUCUUUACAAUUAAAUUAUUACUAUUUUUUUUUUUUUUUUCAAACUUCUUACUCCAAGAAUGCUAUCACGUCUGCUAUCUCUAG
Molecule: long non-coding RNA, 1321 nt
Filed under: Carassius auratus (goldfish)
Lineage: Eukaryota; Metazoa; Chordata; Actinopteri; Cypriniformes; Cyprinidae
Description: lncRNA (ENSCARG00000011772.1)
Source: RNAcentral